This is a long non-coding RNA of Papio anubis (olive baboon), 4084 nucleotides long. NCBI's taxonomy places the organism in Eukaryota, Metazoa, Chordata, Mammalia, Primates, Cercopithecidae. The record is from Ensembl.
UCACAACAAUCCUAUGAGAGCUGAGCCAACAUGCAUAUGAUAACUGGAGACUGAAAAAAUUUAGGGAGAGAGAACCAUGCAAGUCAAGGGCAUUGUAAAGAUGAAUUUAGAAUCUCCAGUGACAGCAGGCCCUCAUUUGGAUGCUUGGAUUCUAAAAUGUUUGCUAAAAGUUGUCCCAGCACUAGAAGACAUUCUAAGGCCAAGCUUAUUCCAAAUCUUGCAAGGACAUCGAAGUUGAUGCAGCUUUCUGGCCCAGAUGGACCUGGGGAAGAACCAAGUCCUUGCACAUAUGAAAAGUUUCCCAACUGCGGCAGGACAGUCUGCAGAAUAGACUGGGCUCCCAUGGAAUCUACUGUGGGACAGAGGCUGAUGAACCUGGUCUUGGCUCAGAGGAAUGUGUGUAACCCAACAAGUUUCUGCACAGAGCAGCCUACUGGGAUCUUGAAGCUGACAAUGAUAUAUGUAUAUGGAUAUAAUGGUGGUUGUAUUAAUUUCCUAAGACUGCCAUAAUAAAUUACCAUAAACGUACAACAGAAAUUGAUUCUGUCACAGUUCUGGAGCCAGAAAUAAAAAAUCAAGGUAUCGUCGGUGUUUCUUUCUUCUAGAGGCUCUGGGGAAGAAUCUGUUUCUUUCGCCUCUCCUAGCUUCUGCUAGUGGCUGGUAGUUCUUUGUGUUCCUUGGUUUGUAGACUCAUCACUCCAAACUCUGCUUUCCUCUUCACAUGGCCUUCCCCUCUGUGUCUCAAAUCUCUCUCUUCUUUCUCUUACAAGGACACUAGUGAUUGUAUUAGGGGCCAACCCUAAAUCCAGGAUAAUCUGCUGAGAUCCUUAACUUAAUUAAACCUGCAAAAAUUCUAUCUCUAAAUAAGGUCUCAUUCACAAGUACCAGGGGUUAGGACUAGACGUAUCUUUGGAGGGGGAAGGACAUAAUUCAACCCAAUACAGUGGCCAAGAUUGCUUUCUCAGGCCUGAAAAAUAAGGCUUCUGGGAAUUUGAUAUGAGCCUACUAUGAAUUUGGAAAAUGGGUUGAAGAUUUAAACAAAUAAAAUCGCUUGGAUUCUUAUCACACUUUGCCUCUGUUGUUGCAGAAUUUCUUCUUUACAGGUUUUAGGCAGUUAAAAAGAAGGUGACUAUUUCAGGACUCUAAAAAAGUUAAAAAAUUAUUUGAGACAUACUUCACAUUUUUGCUUAAUUCUAUUAUUAUUUAUAGUUCCUAAAUUUUGCAGUGGUAUAUGUUUAUUAGAAUUACAGAUAAACCAAAAUAAGUGAAUUUGCCUUUUGAGCUCCCCGUGCACAUAUAAAGACUCCUAAUUCUUUGGUGCAUAACCUUGAGAUUAUAUUUUGCUUAGUAGAUAUUUACACUUUCUUAUAUAUCUAUAAAUCCAUAUGUAGAAGUUAACAUGGAUAUAUAUUUGUUACAUUUUUAUUCGUAAUAUGUAACUUUUUAAGAAGUCAAUAAAUAUCUUGUUGAUGUUUUAAAACAUUUUGAUAAAUUAUUUGAUACUUCCAUUUCAUCCCAGCCCAUCACAAAUUGGAGUUUAAUUCUCCUCCUAUUUGAAUAUAGGCUAGACUUAGUGACUUGAUUCUAAAGGAUAUUAUAUGGCAGAAUGAUACCAUGUUAAUUCUGAGGUUGGGUCAUAAAAGGUGACACAGCUUCUGUUUGGCUCUUUCUCUUUUGGAAAAUGUACCUAUGCGGGGAUUCCUGAGUCGACAAUGUAAGAUGUCUGGCUAUUCUGAAACAGACAUGCUGGAGAGAACACAUGGAAAAACCAUAUUAGAGAAAAAAUUGCCCAAGGAGCCACAGCUAUUCCAGCCCUCAAAUGCUUGGCUUACCCCAGCCAAUCACCAGAGAUACAUGAUGAUUUCAGUCCCCAACCUUUUAGCCACCUGAGAUGACUCUGAGUAGAGCAGAGUCAUUUCUGAUGAGCCCUGAACAAACUGCAUAUUUGUAAGGAAAGAAAUACUGUUGCUGUUUUUAGUCAUUAUGUUUUUGGAAUAUUUUAUGUAGCAAGAGAUAACUUGAGCACAUUUACUUGAUUUCUCUUAAUAGCUGUGCAGCGUUUUAAUAUUAUGGGUGUGUCACCUUUACCCAGUUUCUUAUUGUUGGACAUUGAGUUUUUCAAGUUUUAGUUGUUUUAAAAAUUGAAACAACCUUGAACAUAGAUAUCUGUUCUCUUGUUCAAUUAUUAUUUAAAAUUGAAAUCUUGGAAAUGCUAGGUAGUACACAAAAGUAUGUCAUGGUGGUUGUUUUGUCACAAGGAUUCCAAAUUGCACAUGGUCAUUAUUUUUAAUCUUGCCAAUUUAAGGCAGACAGUACUUUUCUUCAUUGAUGUGUCGAUGUUAUAACUGAUUUUCUAAUAGUUCUAUUACUGGGAAUACAUCUUAUUGUGAUUUAUUAUUAUUAUUCAUUUAAUUUACUUCUAAAGUUUUAUACAUCUUGCCUUAUGUCAGGGUCAGGGCACACAUAGAAAACAGUAGUACUUGUAUGAUACCCCAAGGUAAACUACAGGAGGUUGGAGGUCACCUAUAUGAAAUAUGAAAAAAAUUAUAUUUUUAUAAGAAAUGAUAUUAAUAUAAUGGUAUUUAUCCUUAAAUGUGAAUAAAACUUCCAACUUGCAAAUAAAUUAUUUCUGAAUUUACUGUGAUAAAGUUUACCUUUCUCCCAUGGACAUAACUUUUAUUGUAAAUAUAUACUAGCAUUUAUGCUUGAAAACAUUACACAUAAUUUUCUGAUGAAGGCUUGGUUAUGUUCUCUUUAAAUUUUUGUAGGUCAUUGUCUUAGUUCAUUUGUGCUGCUAUAACAAAAUACCUGAGACUAGUUCAUUUAUAAAGAAUAGAAAUUUAUUUCUCACAGUUCUUCAGACUGGGAAAUCCAAAGUCAAGGUAAUGUCAGUUUCAGUGUCUGGUGAGGGCCUAGCCUCAGCUUCUAAGAUGGCAUCUUAUUGCAACAUCCUCCAUAGGGGUCGUAACCGAAGGGAUAGAAGAGCAAAAGGGUCUAGCUAGUUCCCUCCAUUCCUUGUAAAGUCACUAACACUGUUAAUGAGGGCUCUGACCUCCUAAUAUAAUCACCAUAUAAAGGCCCCAUCUCUUAACACUGUUACAUUGAGGAGUAAGUUUUAACAUGAAUAUUGGAGGGAAUGCAAACAUUUAAACCAUAACAGUCAUCAUCAACAAGAAACUUUAUUAACAUAGGCAGAUAAUACAUUCUAAAACACACUUUACAUCCAUUGAAAGUUUUUACAUUUUAACAACUGAAAUUAUAUUUCAAGCUAAAGUUUUCCUUUAUUUCAUUGAUAAAUGUAAUGUUGACAUUUCUUACCAUAAUGUGAGUGGGCUUUGAAUCCAACCAAACUUUUUAACAGUCUUUCAAAAUCAUGGUGAAGCUUUUAUUUGGAAAACAUACUGCAUUAUAAGAACAUCUCAUCAUUAGUUUAAAGACCCCUAGAGAGAGCAUAUGCCACAAACAUAUGGAUCCACCACCCAGAGGUGUGCUCCCUGGGAUUCUCGUCACCUUUGGGAAUGGGACAUACAUCCGUGAACGGGCAUCUGACUGCAGAAGUAGAUGUCCAGUGUUAGCAGCAAUUUGCUCAUGCUCAGCAAGUUGUGGCAGAGCAGCAAGUACCAGGUGUAGCUCAUCCCUCAUCUUGAUUUUCAUCUGUGACAGCAGCUGGGAAUGCCACCCUCAUCUCACCCACUCACCCAGCUCAGAUCUUUGAACCCACCUUUUGUCUGAGGCAAAAGGUGUUGGGGCUCAAGCUGCUCAAGUCUAGUCCUAUUACCUCAUGGGCUGAGAUAAAUUGCUACUCCCCUGCACACUUGCAAUCAGUUUUCUGGACAAGAUUUGCACUAACGGAUUAAGUUGAUAAUAUUUUAUUUGUGAAUUCUGUGUAAAAUAUUCAUAAUUAUGUUUACCUUCAUUCUCCUUUUUUGUAGUACUUAUGUUUAGUCUAUGAUACAGCUAAUUAUGUUGACUUCAUACAAAUCAUGGAUUUUUUCAUUUUUUCCUCUGUUCUGGAAAAGAAUAAAUAGGCUAAGGAUGAUUGACCAGUUGAAGGCAUUCUAGAACUUAUUUGUACAAAUACAUA